GGGGAAUAUUGCGCAAUGGGCGAAAGCCUGACGCAGCGACGCCGCGUGGGGGAUGACGGCCUUCGGGUUGUAAACCUCUUUCGACCUUGACGAAGGCCUUCGGGUUGACGGUAGGGGUAGAAGAAGCACCGGCCAACUACGUGCCAGCAGCCGCGGUAAUACGUAGGGUGCGAGCGUUGUCCGGAAUUAUUGGGCGUAAAGAGCUCGUAGGCGGUGUGUCACGUCGGUCGUGAAAACUUGGGGCUUAACCCUGAGCUUGCGGUCGAUACGGGCAUCACUUGAGUUCGGCAGGGGAGACUGGAAUUCCUGGUGUAGCGGUGAAAUGCGCAGAUAUCAGGAGGAACACCGGUGGCGAAGGCGGGUCUCUGGGCCGAUACUGACGCUGAGGAGCGAAAGCGUGGGGAGCGAAC
RNAcentral lists this ribosomal RNA (410 nucleotides) under uncultured bacterium. Its description in RNAcentral is "bacterial SSU rRNA". It matches the Rfam family "Bacterial small subunit ribosomal RNA", at positions 356 to 773 of the family's 1533-position model. The record is from RNAcentral.